Molecule: long non-coding RNA, 215 nt
Filed under: Physcomitrium patens
Lineage: Eukaryota; Viridiplantae; Streptophyta; Bryopsida; Funariales; Funariaceae
Description: long non-coding RNA (PPAT_LNC008097)
Source: RNAcentral
AUUAAAUGAUCUAAAUCCUUUUCAUCAUUUUGACUUAACAUGGAUAUAAUAGCAACAUUGGAUGCAUCAAUAUAAAUAUAAAAUAGUUUCAUCCAACAAGGUGCAACCAUUACUAGUACAAACAUCAAUUUUUGUUUCAAUUCUUCAAAAGCAAUUAUACAUUCUUCAGCCCAAAUUAGACUAGAACCAUCCGCCAUGAGUUUCUGUAAGAGAUU